UACGUAGGUGGCAAGCGUUAUCCGGAAUUACUGGGCGUAAAGCGCACGCAGGCGGUCUUUUAAGUUUGACGUGAAAGCUCUCGGCUUAACUGGGAGAGGUCGUUGAAGACUGGAAGGCUUGAGGCAAUGAGAGGGGUGUAGAAUUCCCGGUGUAGUGGUGGAAUGCGUAGAUAUCGGGGGGAAUACCAGUGGCGAAAGCGGCACCCUAGCGUUAGCCUGACGCUCAUGUGCGAAAGCGUGGGGAGCGAACGGGAUUAGAAACCCCCGUAGUCC
This 273-nucleotide ribosomal RNA is filed under the name uncultured bacterium. RNAcentral describes it as "partial 16S ribosomal RNA". It matches the Rfam family "Bacterial small subunit ribosomal RNA", at positions 524 to 796 of the family's 1533-position model. The record is from RNAcentral.